RNAcentral lists this ribosomal RNA (465 nucleotides) under uncultured bacterium. RNAcentral's name for it is "bacterial SSU rRNA". It matches the Rfam family "Bacterial small subunit ribosomal RNA", at positions 356 to 807 of the family's 1533-position model. The record is from RNAcentral.
UGGGAAUAUUGCACAAUGGGCGAAAGCCUGAUGCAGCCAUGCCGCGUGUGUGAAGAAGGCUCUAGGGUUGUAAAGCACUUUCAGUAGGGAGGAAAGGUUGAAGGUUAAUACCCUUCAGCUGUGACGUUACCUACAGAAGAAGCACCGGCUAACUCCGUGCCAGCAGCCGCGGUAAUACGGAGGGUGCAAGCGUUAAUCGGAAUUACUGGGCGUAAAGCGUGCGUAGGCGGCUACCUAAGUUGGAUGUGAAAGCCCCGGGGCUCAACCUGGGAACUGCAUCCAAAACUGGGUGGCUAGAGUGCGAGAGAGGAGUGUGGAAUUUCCUGUGUAGCGGUGAAAUGCGUAGAUAUAGGAAGGAACACCCAGUGGCGAAGGCGACACUCUGGCUUGACACUGACGCUGAGGUACGAAAAGCGUGGGGGAGCAAAUCAGGAUUAGAUACCCGUGGUAGUCCACGCCGUAAAA